This is a long non-coding RNA of Hippocampus zosterae (dwarf seahorse), 2424 nucleotides long. RefSeq lists it as uncharacterized. Lineage: Eukaryota; Metazoa; Chordata; Actinopteri; Syngnathiformes; Syngnathidae. The transcript is spliced from 3 exons. The record is from RefSeq and is a predicted model, not a curated record.
CCCAGCGGUCUCCCUUCUUCAAACUUGUUUUUCAGAGUCUGAGCACAGGAGUGAAGGAAUGUGGUUUCGAGGUGAAACAACAGUGUAACACUGCCCCCUAGAGAGGGUGUUGGGAAAUGACAUCAAAUAAACCAGUGCGUCCCCUGCUGAGCAAGGGUGUCCAGCACAUCCAGAGCCAGAGUGGCCCUCUGCUGCUGCAGUACCAGUCGGGCGUGUUCCAUGGGGCAGGAGAACUGGGGCAGGACUGGGAGGGAAUCCAGGGCUUGAUUGGAGCUCAACAGUUUGGCUCGGGCCUUGAAGGCCAAUGUGUCAAUUUGUUGAGCCUGCUCCUGGUCGGUACGUCCUGAGUCUUUAGUCUGCUGGGAGCUAAGAAUGAGGGAAAUGAGGUGUCUGUGAAGCAGCGUCACCCACUCCACUGGCUCGGCCCACAGGUUAAGGUUGCCCUUUUCAAACAGGAAAUCCUCUUCAUCCUAUUCAAUCAAAACAAAUUGGUCCAUGAGCACGAUGACACAAGCAACCUCCACGGGUUUUUAACACGUCCAGCACAUAUUGACAAACAGUCGCACAUAUUUGUGUCUUUAGUCACAUGCACAAAGGUGCAGAACAAGCCAAAAGGCAGAACGGGGACAAAUGAGGCAGCAAAUCUGCAGACACUAAAAUCAAAAGAGUGAAGGGAGGGGCUGAGCUGCUCUGAACAAGCUCUUCAAUCCAAUCAACUACUGUAUUACUUGAUGGAGACAUUCCACCUAAAUUGAUAAAGAAAUGAUUAUUAUUAUAAUUUUUUACCAGACUGGAGGCAUCAUCUUGACAUGCCUCCUCGUUGCCUUCUUCUGCUCCCAGCAGCCACUCUGUCAGAGCGAGGACGCCUGCUGGUACCUGCUUCCACAGUUUGAAGAGGCGACACAAGAGACUCACACCAACGUCCAAGGCCACGGGGGGACACACCGUCACGCCUGCAACAUCUGUUGAACCAAAAGUCGGGGACAUUGAAAUAUGUCACAAUUGGUUGACAGGAGUCAUUUAACAAGAUUCUGGCAUGAUCUGUAAUUGCCUUGGUAAGAAUUGAAAACCGGUGCAUGUGUUUGGGUCACGUUUUUCCACCCCCAGCUCAUUCUCAAGGCUCAAGUUUUGAUUUCAAGCGUGACCUUUACCUGCGCGUUGAUACAUGCUUGUUGUAAUAAAGGUUUCACCUUUAGGCAGGGCCAGAAGACCUUGCAUUCAAAUAGUACACAUAACUUCAUUAUGAGCUAAACAGGUUCAGGGAAAAGAAAAUUAAGCUCUUCAACCAAAAGCUGGAAGAUCAUUUGGAAUGUAUAUUACUUUAUUACUACUUCUAGAGGUACUACCACCUUUGUCCAGGCCUUUUUUAGUUGUCUUAAAAAAAUGAACCAUAAUUCAAAAGAAAUGUUUGAUUUAUAUUGGUGAAAGGGAUUAUGUGGCCAGGACGGCUCAUUUUCCAGUCAACAAUUCUCUGAUGUAUUUUUUUGAUCAGGAAAAUAAAAUUAGCUUGCAUUACCAUUUUUUCCCAAUUUGUUUUGGAGAAAUCAGAAAAUAAUGACUCUUGAACCAAUAUGGACAAAUCAACCAACACCCCCUGUAGCUUGGUAUGACGUCAGUGGAACAACUGGACACAAUUUGUCUCAAUCACUCAAUGUGCACUGCAUAUAAUGUCCAAAACUUGCGCUCAAUCAGCAACAUUAUGUCAACAUAUCUACUGAUGCCCACUUUAACCGAUGAAAAUGGCACAAUCAAAAGCCUCUCCAUAUGCACUCACUCUUAAGAACCUGACAGGAAUAAGAUUUAAUCAAGAUCAUUCCAUUGUAAGUCUUGACUGUGUUUUCCUAUUGUUUAGAAAUGUGAACCAAUCAACAGCUGGAUGCAACGGCAGCUUCAAAUAUUGAUCAAAAACAAAACAUAUUUAAUACACUUUUGAAGUUCUGCAAAUGUAUCAACAAAAUGCAAGUACAUAUACAAAGAUUUCCAUAGUUAGGUAAUUCAUGAGUUCAGAGUUGGAAGAUAAUCAAGGGGACGGUGUUGGCAUGCAUCAAACGUUGCUGAAUCACUUCACUAAUUGUGAGAAUUUGUGUCAUGUAGAUGGUAAAAUAGCUGGACUUAAACUUUACCUUUAUAUAGUCACGCUGUACCACUGUAUUCCGGAAAUGUUUGAGGAUUGGACCACUGAAGAUGACCACGGUACCGUUUCAGCCACACUGCGUGAGUGGAAGUUAUUGUUUUUGUUUUCCCACCUUGACCAUCUUCCAUGCAGUUGACACCUGGAUAACAGCACAGACAUCAAAAGCUUUGCAAAGUCACAACUCAAACACUAGCACUAUGGGAACUAGAGGAGGGCGUGUGGGGGUGCAUAAAAGUUUACAACCCCCUACCCCAUCCCUCCCCCCAUCAGCACACAUACAGUACAAGAAA